Molecule: non-coding RNA, 742 nt
Organism: Triticum urartu
Lineage: Eukaryota; Viridiplantae; Streptophyta; Magnoliopsida; Poales; Poaceae
Source: RefSeq, a predicted model, not a curated record
UAGGAUGUAUACUUGAAGGAGUGAAUCUACUGGUUCAGCUGAAAAUUGAUCUCUAUUUGGUUUUUGUUUUUGUGUUUGGUUUUGCCGGCCGCUCGUCCUUCGUAUGCUCAUCCAUCUUGGCUGCUCUGCUUGCCUGCUUCUCCACUCUAACUCAGAAUGCGUCCGCUUAUUUCAGUCGUUAUACAUGUUUUGGAGGUCGUGGUGGCGGCGUAGUGCGGUGUGCUUUAUGACGCUUUCGUAUCUGUGCGAGGUUGCAGAGGACGUGUCUGUACUUGCUGGGGUAGAAUUCAAAUUGUGAGGGAUGGUUGUGCUUAGAUUUGGUCGCUGCUGGUCGGUUCUUGAGUUCAGCGCAUGAAAACGUGCAACUGCUAUCAAGCGAACCACAGGAGGGAGCAGCAGGCAUAGAAGAAAUCCCAAGCCAAUUUUGCUCAGCUGUAGCAUCUUCCACUGACAAUAAGUCUGCACAGCAGCCUAGCUGAUGUUCUUGCUCAGUAUAAGCCAACAAUGGAGAAACUGACCAAGCUAUCUUUCAUGAUCAGUUACACACCAAGCCUAUAUUUUUGCUGCUUCUACAUGUUGCUAUGAUGGUCAUUCAGCCCAUUUUCUUGAACCUGCACUACAACGAGAAAUUUGGGCUGCUUCUUUGUGGCUUCCAAACUUGAAAUGUUUGUUUGGAAGUUAGUUUAGAUUUUUGUUGUGGAUUCACAGCUUCUCACAUGUACCAUCCUCUUAGACCUUUAGA